UUUGACUUAGGAGAGAAAUGAGCUCAGCUGAUCCACCAUCUGUUACUAGGUUGGGAAUUGGAAAACACCGGACUUGGAUCACCGUCUUCAAUUGGAACAAGCAUACAUUGGAAGACUUUCUAAGACCUUUUGCUCAAGGGCAAACCUUAUUCUCAGAUUGGAUCAAGUUGAGAAGCCCAUGAAGUAUUGUCACCAAGCAUACAGGAGGAAAAAACAGGUCUAAUUUUAUGCAUGUGGUAUUCUAUUUAAUUACAAGAAUUACAUUAAGAACAACUGCUAAUCAUCUGCUUCAGCUAAUUUCAAAGAAAAAAUGUCUAAUAGUACUUUUACAUUUUCUAAUUAGUGAUUUUAUUUGCUGUUAUUGAAUGCCCUGAAUUUAAUUAAGCCACUCAGAAGGGGAGACAGGUGGCAGGACGCACAAGGAAUUUUGCCGCACUGGGUUGAAAAGCAUCAUGAAAGCAUUUCAGGUUCUUUGGCAAGUGCCUCUGUUCCCUCCAAGGGCUCUGCUGACAGUCUUCUCUCCUGCUCCACUUGUCACACUGGGGGCUGCUGCUGUUACUCUGGGUGUGCCACACCAUACAGGGUGCCUCUGCUGCUCUGCAUUGCCUCUUUGGCCUUGUCGGAUGCCACAGACCAUGUCUGGUGUCUACUGCUGGUCUGCUAGAACCUCACCAGACUCCCUGGCCACACAUACAGUCUAAAUCCCAUUGUGAUGUUCUGUGCUGCCAAGUAUUGUGCUUUGGGAUCAAAGUGUUGAGAAGGACAGUGACUCUUUCAAAUGUCAUUCCAUUGGGGUCAACUCUAGUGAUUUCUCACUGUAUUUGACAGUUUAGUGCAAGAGCUCUCUCAGUUUUUAGAGUCAUACGUUUCCCUGUACACAUUCAUAGAGCUGGGGAGAGUGAGCAAUAGCCAAGACAUUGCUGAAAUCACAAUGUGGAACUCCUCAAGGCUAUGCAUGUACAUUAUUGCAAAGAAUAAGGCUUUGUUCCUCAUCCAUCCUCUGGUAGUCACAGCUUUAUUUUAAUUAGAGCUGUUUCCAUAAAGCUAGCAUAGAGAUAUGUGUCUGUCUACAGGACGAGUUCGUGAGAUGUGCCCAAAGCAAUGGUAAAUAAGGCUUGAGUUUUCUAGGAGGCAAUUCAGUCCUUCUGCAAAUAGAUCCUCACCUCUGCUGCUACAUUUGGUAUGCACUUUUACCUUGGCAUGCACCACGGUGCCCUGUGAUUAUUAAUUUACUUCCAUGUCUUGGUCUUCAUGUCUCUCUGUAGAUCUUUAAGGGCAGGGACAAUACAUUAUUCAACUUUAUUUAAAAAUUCUAACAUCUAUCCUAGUGUUAGAUACUGAGCAAACAUGCAGCAAAUGUGUCCUGUAUAAAUGAAACAAGUCAUAUUCCAAUUUUUUUGUUUUCCUCCUGGUUUUACUUAAUGAAACUCAUUGAACUAAAAAUAUCUAAUCUUUAUAUUCCUCCAGCAAACUAUGAGACUUAGUCCAUUUUAGAUUCUUAUUAAAAUUUACUGAAUUGCCUUUUUUGGUAUUCAUAAAUGUAUGAAAGUGACUUACCAAUUAGUGAUAAUUAUUAUUAAUUGCUUAUUAAUAGAUUAUAAUUGGAGCCCAGCACAUAUUGUUACAGGCCUUAUCAUAUUUCAGGCAACACUUCGAUUUUAAAACAAACAUUAAAAAAAAUUCUUAUUUGAUGACUCUGAGGAUAGACCUCCCACCAUAAGCCUUUAUCCAUGCUAGAGUGGAAUAGACAGAUGCAUUUCAUUUACAGCGUAAGAUAAAAUUGCUCUUUGAUAUUCAGUACUCUGUGUGGGGAAAGCCUUUUUUUUCUUUUCUGAAUUCCAGUAAUUGUCUUGUUUGUAGUCCCUUGCUGCAGACCUUUGCCUCCUGCCAACUGCUUGCCAGACGUGGUCUCAAUGUUAAGAAGGGAGAGGUUCCCAGAGAGCAUAAGAUAUAUAUUGAAAUCAAACAUUUUUCUAAAACUAUUGUUUUCCAAUUUCCACUAAAUCAUACCUUUUGUGACCCUUCUUACUCAGUGGAUUUCAAAACACUUAGCAAAAGAAUAACUAAAAUAAAAAGUCAUUACUCACAGAUGCUUUGCACACCUGAAGGGUAAAGUUGGUUUUUCUUUUGUGUGUUAUUUAUACCAAUGACACACCAUUUCUUUAUUAUUUUUGAGUUUCAUUCUUUAGGUUAACUGGCUCCACUUUGAUUUCUGCUGCUCAGCUAUGACACAACAAUUGAAUUUAAGUAUCAGCCUAUUACUUACUCUGUAUGUUUCAAAAUUCAAGGUCAGAAUAAAAAAUUAGAAAACAAAUG
This 2316-nucleotide long non-coding RNA is filed under the name Homo sapiens (human). RNAcentral's name for it is "HSALNT0039243". Lineage: Eukaryota; Metazoa; Chordata; Mammalia; Primates; Hominidae. The record is from RNAcentral.